This is a long non-coding RNA of Panthera uncia (snow leopard), 1325 nucleotides long. RefSeq lists it as uncharacterized. The transcript has 3 exons. Lineage: Eukaryota; Metazoa; Chordata; Mammalia; Carnivora; Felidae. The record is from RefSeq and is a predicted model, not a curated record.
UUCUUUUAAUUUAUUGGCUCUAAACAUGGUGCAGGAUCCAAGGGAGAUGCUUGGAGUCAAGGUCAGAAGUGAAGCCUGAGCUCUCAGUGAAGCCUUCAGAGGAUAAAGCUGUUUAGAUCAGGUCAAAAGCUGCCCCAACACCCUGAUAAUACACCUGGUCGUUCCUGUGAUGGGAAGUAAACGGAACUGGGAGAGGGCGGUGAGAUGUUACUGGGAGAAAAGAGGCCUCCGUGCCUUAUGUAAGUCGUGUUCCAAAUACACGCUUCUGAAUAAGAGAUGGGCAGUCUAUAUCGCAGUUCCCAGGCACUGCAUGGCAUCACCAUAUCAAGAAAGUCCCUUUAGACUCCUCCAAGCCUUCCUGUCUCUGACUUCACUUACACUUCUCUGAGGCCCUGAAGGGCUAGGAUUCCUGAGAAAUGAAUUUGGGUCCCAGAAAUAUCUACAUUCAGGAAAAGAGGAAAAAUGCUACUAAGAUGGCUCCCCAAGGUAAACCAAUCUUCCAAAAUUAAUGAAUUGAUGGAAUCAUCACUUUGUUUCUAAAAUAAUCCAGGAAUGCAAUUUCUUCACUUCUGUUGCAGAUAGAAGUUAAAAAAAAAAAAAAAAAAAAAAAGACUGAGGGCACCCACAUACCUUGACAAAAGCAAAACUUUCCAUUGAUUCUCCUGAUUUUCUCCCCUAUCUUACAAGCUUAGCUUUGAAUCCUUGGAGAAGCUGGAGGUCAGUGGAACAACGUGGCAAAAUGGAGAGACACUGGUGUUGAAGUUGGGAGACCCUGGAUCCAGUUCCCACUCUGCCUCUGACCGGCUUUGUGACUUGUGACAAGUUACUGACCUUCUCCAUCUGGGUUUCGUCUUGUAUGAUGCACGUGUGCAGAACCUUUAUGUACGACAGACAGGCUGCUUCAGAAGCUGGUGACCUAUUGGUCACCAUCAGGAGAACCCCGAAGCCUGAUUGGCCACUUGGUGGGCCUAAGGACUAGCGUUUGUCUAAUGUUUUCAGAUGUCAUGAGGCUCUCUCAAUAGGUGUCACUUCAUACGGUGACCAUGACAAUCCAGUCAAGGAGAUAUCUCCAUCCCCAUUGUUAAAGACCAGAUGGGAGAACAAAGUCCCUUGGCCAAGCUCAUGGCGCAGCGAUCAGAGUGGGUCCAUCAGGCGUAGUGUGUCUCUGAUCACGGCCACCUUCACUUCUUCAUCGACAAGGCUGGGGACAUUUUCAAAGACCCCCGGAGAAAGCUUGAAUGGCUGCUCACCAACUCGUGUACAUUCUGCCUCCUGAAGAGCUUUCCAGAGCUGGCCCAUCCUCACCGCUCCUGGCCUAGAUCAGG